ACCCUUAUCUCUCAGGUGGGUGGGUUCUGGAACCAACCCUAAUCUCUCAGGUGGAUUCGAGAACUAACCCUAAUCUCUCAGGUGGAUUCGAGAACUAACCUUAAUCUCUCAAGUGAGUUUGACACUAACCCUAAUCUCUCAAGUGGGUUUGAAACUAACCUUAAUCUCUCAGAGGGUUCAAGUACUAAAUCUAAUCUCUUAGCCGGGUUUGAAUACUAACCCUUAUCUCUCAAGUGGAUUUGAAAACUAACCCAAAUAUCUCAGAUGGAUUUGAAAAUUAAUAAGAGGUGUCAACUGUCGACCUGUCGACCUUUGUGAUAACAUUGUAGGUUAACCAAUAAGAGGUGUCAACUGUCGACCUGUCGACCCUUUUAAUGUCAAUGUAGGUUAACCAAUAAGAGGUGUCAACUGUCGACCUGUCGACCCUUUUGAUGUCAAUGUAGGUUUACUGUGGAAUUGUCAAACAUUUUUUGUAAAGGGGACUUUUUAUGGACUAUUUUUAAAAGGAUUUAUUUGGAGGAAUAAGGCAAAAUAUUCCCACUAUCUACAAUAAAAGGAACUAUUUCUUAUCAAAUUUUAAAUUUGAAAGAUGUUAAUCGGUUUUGUGGAACUACUUAUCCGUAU
Saccostrea cuccullata (small rock oyster) is the source of this 624-nucleotide long non-coding RNA. RefSeq lists it as uncharacterized. The transcript is spliced from 3 exons. NCBI's taxonomy places the organism in Eukaryota, Metazoa, Mollusca, Bivalvia, Ostreida, Ostreidae. The record is from RefSeq and is a predicted model, not a curated record.